GGGCGUAGUUCAAUGGUAGAACUCCAGCUUCCCAAGCUGGUAGCGCGGGUUCGAUUCCCGUCGCCC
Molecule: transfer RNA, 66 nt
Filed under: human gut metagenome
Rfam family: tRNA
About the family: Transfer RNA (tRNA) molecules are approximately 80 nucleotides in length. Their secondary structure includes four short double-helical elements and three loops (D, anti-codon, and T loops).
Source: RNAcentral